Long non-coding RNA from Poecilia latipinna (sailfin molly), 1204 nucleotides. RefSeq lists it as uncharacterized. Lineage: Eukaryota; Metazoa; Chordata; Actinopteri; Cyprinodontiformes; Poeciliidae. The transcript has 2 exons. The record is from RefSeq and is a predicted model, not a curated record.
GAAAUUAACUCUAAGUCUCGACUGACUCCUGCUGUAAUGUGGAGACGCCCUGUGAAUACUUUCCAGUUCUGCUGGUUAUUUUCUGCGCUGCUGAGUUUUUGCUCAUUCGUUCCGUAUUUCUGUCCUCCGGUACCGGUUCUGACCCGCCGUUCCUCUCCAGGUUGUUCCGCUUCUCCUCCUGCCUCCUUUCUCCCAACUCGUCAGUUUUCCUCAGCGAGACGUAAGAGCGGUUUCUCCGUCAGCUUCCCGUGAGCCGCAUUGUUCAGCUGAAGCCGUCAGCCGCUGAACGGACCCCGCUGUGCCGACCGAACCUUCGUUUUGUAACCCGGCUGAAAGGAAAUGUCGGGUGUGAAUCCGCCGCAGCGCUAGGACGGUUUCCAUGCUAAGCCUCUGUAGCUGAUAAUCCUGAUGUUUUUUUCCCAGAAUUCUGAGCUUUGAUUGCAGAAGAUUGGAGUCGGAAUGACUCUGGUAAAUACUAAAAGAAAAACCAGCUUUUUUUCUUCUGUGGUCCAAAUCCUCUUCUGCUUAAAACUGCCUUCGUUUGAUUAAUAAGAUAUUAUUUAAUUUAUUUUCAAGGUCCAUUUUUUGAUGGGCCACAUUAAGACUUUACGGCGGGCCGGAUUUGGCCCGUGGGCCUCGAGUUUGGCAGACCUGCGCUCUGUGAACAUAAGAGCUCUCACUUUGUCCCAAACCUUGGAAAACGUUGCUGUAAACAAAAAGCACCUUUCAAUGGGCGUAAAAAGCCAUUAGCAGCUAUUUCCCAUGAUUCAGUGCUGCUGGCAGCCAGCCUCUUUCAUUUCAUCUCAAUCAAAAGCCACUUAUGUAUUUUAAUCCAUUUCUCUUCAUGAAUAUUCAGCAGCAGUUUUGUCGAGUCUCUUCCAGCUAAAUUAAAUCAGCAACAUAACUUUGAUAUUAAUAUUUCAUUUGAUGCUGAAAUAUGAGGAAAAAUCUGAAGUUAUUUACUUCUUUGGUUUAAUAAACAGAAAAUUCAUCAAAGUUUCUGUUUGACCCUCAAGGUUUUUGCUCCAGAAUUAAUAAAAUGUUGAUAGAAACUGUUUGGGGUUUUUUGUAAAUCUGCUCAGUCAGCAUUUCUUUUUCUUCUUUUUUAUCAGAAACUAGAGCUGACAGAAUAUAUCUUUUAACUUUCUGGUUAAUCUUUCCGAAUAAUUUUCUUUAGUGAUUUUGUUUUGUAUGGAUUAGGGCU